CGGACAUUGUGUUUGAUUAUCGCCAGAAGGUCACGAGAUCGUUUGAGCAUCUUCAAGGAGAUUAUUUCAUUGCUUCUGUUUUCAUGCUUUGGAUUUUUAUGAAGCUGUAAGAUCACAGACAUAUGAUGGGGCCAUAUCUAAGUGGGUUGAUGAUAUUGGAG
This is a long non-coding RNA of Cucurbita maxima (winter squash), 161 nucleotides long. RefSeq lists it as uncharacterized. The record is from RefSeq and is a predicted model, not a curated record. The transcript has 3 exons. NCBI's taxonomy places the organism in Eukaryota, Viridiplantae, Streptophyta, Magnoliopsida, Cucurbitales, Cucurbitaceae.